ACUCUCAUUUAAUUCCCUCUCAGGAUGGCAAGUGUUCAUGUUUAAUGAACUUUCUGCAGAGCCAUCUGGGGAGAUUUAAAACCACCCCUCCGGCAGCUGGUCGGGGUGUGAUUAAUGACGGCUGCGGACUCGAGCAGAGCAGAACCAAGGGGACGAGGCUCCUGCAAAGAGGUGCGAGCUCAGACCGUGGUUGAAGCACUCUUCUCAGCUGUUCCUUGCUGCACCACGUGUCUGUAGAGCAGCAGACCGUGGCCACGCAGCCCUGCUGCUCUUCUCCAGCCACAGCCUGCAGGGGCUCGCAGCGCUCAGCCGGCGGCACCGGGCAUUCCUGGGGACACGGGACAUUUAUUUUUUCAAUACGUUGUGGUCUGCGUUAGGUUUUCUGCUGCCUGGGUGAAGCCCCUUAAAUCUUGCUCCAAGUGACAGCUAUACGACCGCCCCUUGCUUUCCGGAGAGGUCGUUCGAUUUUAGCAGCAGUGGCAUUCACCCAGCGUUUUGCCAGGGGAAUACUGAAGGUCCAGCGUGUCACAGCGUUAUGUAAGGCUGUAAAAAUAUGGCUUUCCCCGGCGUAAAUCACAUUUCUGUGUCAGCAGCCAGCGAGCAGGAAGGGAAUUUGUUUAACCCUGCCGUGCCUGGCAGCUGGGUCACCUUCCCACAACGCAGCCACGAACCCAAGGGGAAUCAUCCCUGCCUUUUCCCUUGUGGUCCCAAAGAGUUUGCCCCCCGUCCUUGUGCAGGAGCUGUAAAUCCUUUCAAUCCACUUAUCUGCUUCUUCCUCCCCUUCGUUAUUCCUGCCUCGUGCACAUCCAGGCGUGCCCCUGGCAUCGCAUCCAUCCAUCACCCGUGGCACUUCUGGCUCUCCUCCCCUGAGACCCAUCACCAUCACACUUUGCGCCUCUCCUUCGGUCCACAAACCCUCUCCUCACCCUCAUUGUCUGUUGUCAGAGUCCUCACAAAGAGCAGCAAUCACCGAGGAGGUGGCCAGCACAAAGCAGGGGUGGGACGGAUGGGGAUAAUUCAGCCAAAGACAGAAGGAGAUGGACCACAACCAAGCCUAACUCAAUGCCACAAAAUUCGCAGUGCUGUACUUUUAUACGGGGAUCUCAGCACAAAAGGUGACCCUUGGGUAUCUCUCGAAUGCAGCUGUGUCCUCCUGGUGCUCCUCUUGCACUGCGCAUGCUGUAGGGAACACGAUGAAUGAGGCUCUCAUAUGACACCAACCCCAAGGACUAUUCCAGGCUAUGCAAGACAGCUGAGAAAUGACAGCAGAAUUAUUCCCAUUUUGUAGGUUAGGAACUGGGUCCAGACUCUGACCAGCCCACU
Long non-coding RNA from Anas platyrhynchos (mallard), 1323 nucleotides. RefSeq lists it as uncharacterized. The record is from RefSeq and is a predicted model, not a curated record. NCBI's taxonomy places the organism in Eukaryota, Metazoa, Chordata, Aves, Anseriformes, Anatidae.